CCGUGACCCUUAAACAAAACAGACCGCGAACGAGUCACCCGUGCCGCCGGGCUCCGGCCCGGCACGCUGCCCCCCCGAACCUCCCGCGGGGAAGGGGGGCCGCGAAAAAGAACCCACGGCGCCCCGGGCGCCAAGGAACACCAGUACUACCUCCUGCCCCGCGGAGCGGUCGGCCCGCCUUCCGUUCCCAGGGCAGCGGUUACACCUUAAUCGACACGACUCUCGGCAACGGAUAUCUCGGCUCUCGCAUCGAUGAAGAACGUAGCAAAAUGCGAUACCUGGUGUGAAUUGCAGAAUCCCGCGAACCAUCGAGUUUUUGAACGCAAGUUGCGCCCGAAGCCUUCCGGCGGAGGGCACGUCUGCCUGGGCGUCACGCCAAAAGACACUCCCAACACCCCCCCGCGGGGCGAGGGUCGUGGCGUCUGGCCCCCCGCGCCACAGGGCGAGGUGGGCCGAAGCAGGGGCUGCCGGCGAACCGCGCCGGGCGCAGCACGUGGUGGGCGACGUCAAGUUGUUGUUCUCGGUGCAGCGUCCCGGCGCGCGGCCGGCCAUUCGGCCCUAAGGACCCAUCGAGCGACCGAGCUUGCCCUCGGACC
RNAcentral lists this ribosomal RNA (596 nucleotides) under Zea mays. RNAcentral describes it as "ITS1, 5.8S ribosomal RNA, ITS2". The stretch from base 218 to 373 matches the Rfam family "5.8S ribosomal RNA". Lineage: Eukaryota; Viridiplantae; Streptophyta; Magnoliopsida; Poales; Poaceae. The record is from RNAcentral.